RNAcentral lists this long non-coding RNA (5649 nucleotides) under Oryzias sinensis (Chinese medaka). RNAcentral describes it as "lncRNA (ENSOSIG00000018494.1)". The record is from RNAcentral. Lineage: Eukaryota; Metazoa; Chordata; Actinopteri; Beloniformes; Adrianichthyidae.
UCUUUUUAUUGGUGCUGCAAAUGUAUUUUUUGAAUUUUAAAAUAUUUUUAAAUAUAUAUUUCCUUAAUAUUAUGUAAAUCCACUGUAACAAAACUUAAUAUCCUUGAUCUUAUUCCCUAAGUAGUUCCCUUGUGGGAGGAAGACCAUUGUAAAAACAAAGACAUAGGUAUACAGUAUUAAAAUAGAUUUGAAAGAAAAACACAAUCUAGUUGGCAUGCAAAAUUACUUGCAAUCAAGGAAAAUUCCAUUAUGCAGAAUUGAAACAAUACAUUUACAUUUUGUAUCCCUGGAAUACAUCAGAUAAGCAGUGCAUUCUCUGAUUGGGGAAUUAGUCAAUUGAACAGAGAAACAAAAUCAACUAUGGGAAAUUUUAACUGUAUACUUUUGCAUAAUUUGCACACAAAGACUGAGCAGACCAUUCAUUAAAAACACCAAUAGACUGCUUUUCAUCCUUUUGAAAUUAGAUGCAUUCGAGAAAGGACGAGGACUGCUUAAAAGAGAGUCUUUUGGGUCAUUACCUCAGGCUUUCUGUUUGUUGAAAGGAGAAAGAAAAGUGGUCAUAGGGUAGAGGAAAACUGUUUGCACUGCAUAAUAAAUGUAAGCAAACACAGCCAAAGGAACAUCCUUUAAUGUCUCCUUUUUCUUCCUUAAAACACUGUUUUCUGCAAUUCUAAUUAGGAGAGAUGCAUGUGCCAGGUUCUGAUGUGUGUGUGCCAGCUCUGUUGGGAAUGGAUUACCCUGACCCACUGGGUUCAAGUCUCAGUGUGCCUGUGCUCGGGUGUCACACUGAUCCCAUCUCUGGGAAUACAAUGCCUUUGGCCGGAACAAUGGAAGAUCCCGGAGGAAAAGGUACUGUUAUGAAUUGGGAUGUUUGGGAUUGGGAUUGGGAUGUUUUUAGCACUCUGUACUUAAGCUUUGUAACCAUCUGUACUACAAUUGACAGGCAUGGUGGCAAUCCGUUAUGGGUCCCAAACCAUUGAUCCAGUCACUGGGCUUGUGGCACCAGUUGUUGGGAUAAGAUUGGAUGUUUUCAAAAAAAUGCCUGUUCCUGUUACAGCUGCAUGCUGGCUUAUGAUGGCUGAACAACCCAACAGUGUCCAGGUUGAAGGGCUGCAGAGGGAGGCAUGUGCAAGAAACACUUACUGGCAGCAGCAAAGGCAUCGGGAGGAAGAAAACCCUAUUGAGCUGGACUCAGCUCUGUUCCUUUGCCUCUGUGGAGUUACAGAUGUAGGCAGUUAUCAGGUCAGUAUGAGGUGGCAUGAGUGGAAUUUGGCAUUUUGAUUUUCAAGUAUGUAAUUUAUUCAUUUCCUUAUUUACUAUUUAUUUCAAACAAGAAGAAGUAACAGAAAAAAAUUCCCACAUGUGCCAUCAUGUACCCUGGUUGUGGAAAACCCAAAGAUAUUCCCUGUAAGGUAUAAUUUAAAAUGUCAAAAGCCUGUUUGGAAAGGAGAAAGUGAGAGCAAAUUAAAUCACCUCCCUUUACAAAUCAUACAUAUUCAGUUACAUUUUGUAAACACUUGCUCUGAUCAUUUGCAUUUAUUAAAAAUGGAAUAGAACGCACAUACCACCACACAAACACAAUGUAAAUUAUUACAGGAAGCGUUUAAACUUACACGUCAUUUCACAGAGAUAAUAAAUGACCACACAUUUCGGAAUCUGUGUAUUUCUUAGAUUGUUGUAUCUUUCCCUUGAAAUAAAUAAGCCUUGAGCAAUGCAUUUGAAGUUUGGAAAUCUACUUAAUUUGUGAAUCGUAGUGACUUUUAUAUUAGUAUGAUCAUAGUACUUCACUUUGUUUACCUACUGAGCUGUUCUUUUUUUGCAGUGUGACAACUGAUUGUGUCCUUGUUUAGUAAUUAUUGCCCAACACAGCAGCAUUGCAUUUAUAACAUGGAGUAAAAAGUUAACAUUAAAAAAUGCUCAGAAGACGGUAAUCCAAACCCUCUUUUUUUCUGUGUGGAAAUUAAAUUCUUAGCACUUAACUUAAAUUAAUUUUUUUUGGACGUCCUAAAACUUAUAUUUCUAAUCAUUGAGACAGCUACACCUCCAUUACCUUUGCUUCAUCUGUUUGUAGGAUGAAAAGCUCAUACCCAUCCAGUUCCAAGGAGGUCUCUAUAUUUGUAUAAUCCACAUUUAAGAAAUGGCAAUAACCCUGCAUGUGAAACCAGUGACAGUAUAGGAGAACUUGCUGAGUGACUCCUCCCACCCCUUGCUUUUCAAAUAUGAAGCACCCACUGACUCCAAAAAGCCAAAAUCCCAAAGAAUUCUAUUGAGAAAUAAAAAUAAACAACUACUACUUAGUCAUUAUAUUUGUCAGAAUAACCAUUCUUGAUCUGCUAAUGGUUUUAACUUGCUCUUGCUAAUCCUAAUUUAUUUCAUUAUUAUUUUCUUUAUUUCAAGUUAUUCAUGUUAUAAAAGCCUAAAAAAAAGCACGUGGUGUCUGUUGGGCCCCUCAUUGAAUGUUCAAAAUGUUUGAUUGACAGAUUCUCCAGAACCUGCUUUCAGUAUUAGGGGUGUGGAUGUGCAACAAGCUCACUCCUGAUUGGCAAGAGGGGUUGCCAUAAAAAUGUUGACUUGCUAACUCAGACCAAUCACUGCUUACUGACGUUGUCUGGCUCCAACAUGGCAUCGUGCAGUAGUGAAAAAAAGAAUCGACUUAAUUUUAUAUGAGCUGGAAGUACGAUUUUGUUUUGGUCCAAUUCUCAUAUACAGUCAAUGUGAGAAACCCUUUGAAGGUUGUUAAUGGUUGUCCUUAGGCUUCUGCAAAAAAUUGAGCCGGUGUUUCUCCAUCCUUGUACCUUGGACUUUCUUUGACACACAGUGUUUUUUUAUACGUUUCCUGAAGUGUCUCUGUGGUAAAAAGGAGUGGUUUAGGUUUUAGGGUGCAAUUGCUUGCUGUAAAUUUCCUACUCUGUAGUUUCAGUGGUCAGGGAGGCAGCUGAGGGAAGCAGCUGGGGAGCUGCAGGAUGCGGCAAACAUGGAGGCCCAGAGAAGAGCGGCUCAGCGCUCCAACUUGGCCCUUGUUUUACCCCAACACGUGCUACACAUCCUCUCAUGGGGUAAACUGCAUAAAAAUAUGGCAGAUCAGGAAAAAUCAAAAUAGAAAAUUACAGAAAUAAGCACUCUUUAAACAUUUCACACUCUCAAAAAGAGAGACAUGGUGCGCCAGGGUCUCUUAUUGUAGGUAGCUCUCAGUUUAUGUAAUUUACAUAAUGCCAGUGUUCACCAUUGGAUUUGGGCUGGAAGCAAGCAACAAUAUGUACAUAAAUCUGUGUUGCAGGUGACGGGGAAGAAUGGGAACAGGAUUGUGCUUGGCACUCAGCGCUCAUGUCGUGCCUCGAUAAGAUUGACAUUAGUAUGGAACAACUGCAACAAGACCUGGCAAAAUGGAAGAUUCAGGCAGGAGAACAAUCUACAAAACUUCAAUUUAUGGUCAGAACAGCCUAGUAGUUUGUGUUUAAAAUAGCAGUACAUUGAAACUUUUUAAGCAUUUCCCGUCAAGCAAAUUCAAGCAUGUUUACUGUAAUGCAGCCUAUGGGUUAAAAACUUUGGUGCAAAAUCUGUAACACUUUGAAACAAAACUGUUUAGCUGUGAAUAAAAAGCCUAUGGAUAUUUGUCUUCCAGGACAGAGAAGUCUGUCAAAAAGAGUUGUUGGAGCUCUGUAGCUCCAGACAGACAGACUUGGACACUGCUCUCAGUUUGUUGCAGUUUGUGAGACAAUUUUCCAAUCUGCGGGCGGAAACUGCCCAGGUAAAAUCGGAACACAAAAAACUUCCCCUCUCUAAGUAACACUAAAAGGAAUCUAUUGUUUAUAACUAAAGCAUUCCAAUACAGAAAGAACAUGCACUCAUCAGCCACAGGUUUGAAUCUGAUGCGACCAUUCAGAGGGGAAUUUGAUGUGACAUAAACAUGCAGACAAAUAAAUCAUUAAAACAUUAGAGCUGACAAAGUAAAAAAUGUUGCAGUUUUGGGACUUAAAAAUUACUUUCGAGCUCUAAAUUUAGGGAAGCUCAGCACAUCAGCCCAUAAUUGUGUGAUUGGGUAAACAGGUACACAGUAAAAAGAGAUGAAAUCCCAUUUGGAUCUCAGCAAAUGUUUGAAGUGAAAUGAAUUCAAUCGACUUAAAAACAGUAAAUUCUACCGUUUUCUCGCUAUUCUUAUUUUCUAUGCUGUCUUUAACAAUAUGUACACCUUCCUACAAGAGCCCUUUAAGGACUUCAUAGAAGCUUUGUGCUUGAGCUUCCCUCAAAGUAUGAAAUGUUCUGGCCAGAAAAACCAUGGAUCAAGUCCAGCCAUGCAUGUGUGACCUAUUAUCUCACCCCAGACAGAGUAAGACCCUGCCUUCAUUCCACCUGCCUGUGUCUUUCUCCAUUUGUCUGUCUAGGCUGUAUUGUGUAGGAAAUUUUGGUUCAGGGAAUACAACCUGCCUCUGUGCAGAGGACACGAGCCAAACAUGAAGCCACUUAACCUGCUCCAAGAAAGAGCUUUGCCUCUGUUGUUGAGGCUGAACCAACUUCUGGAAGAGAAGAAACCAACCAGCUCUUCCCCCAACACCUGCAAUCAGCACAUUUCUGGCUCAGAGGCAGUGCCAGAUAGCGGUAUAGAAUGAACUCUGCUACACAGACAUUGCACAUGGAGUAGUAGUUAAGAUCACUCCUAUGUUUUUUUUCUGGUAACAUUUCUCUGCUAUGUUGAUGUAAAAAUGCAGGAAAAUAAUUUGUCAUCUGUCUUCUAACAUAUUUCAGGUUUGUCCACAGAACAGGCAUAUUGUUUAGAGACACCCUCAAGAGUCUGGACAGCAUCUGUGCCUGUGGUAAAAGGUGUGUUCGUCUUAAACUUUCACACUUAACAAUGACAUAUGAGAGUGUGGUUUUUGUGGGUUAACAAUUCAAAGUUCUAUGAUUGGCCCGCUCGCUUUCUGCAGGUUUGUUCACAUCAGUCCUGGGACAGCUGAUUGAUUGUAGUCACAUUGUUUGUCUUUGAUUUUGCUUUGUUAGUGUUAAACUGAUCAAGAUUCACUUUGCAUUUCAUCACAUGCAAAUUGGAAGGGACUCUCUGGGACUUUAAUAUCAAUAAUAAAAUUCCGUUUGAUGGCACAGCUGUCCAAGUUGUUAUCAACAAAAAACCAAAAAAAGCAAAUCAUAAUCCAUUGAAUGAAUGGAUAAGUUAAUGCUAUUUUUUUUGCGCUUAAUUAUGCUGACGUGAAAAAAAAGUCCAGAGAUAUCUGGUUGCUCAACGGAGUGAUUUAGGAGACAGAAAGAAAAUAGAAAGCACACACAAACAGACUUAUCUGUCUGUUGCUGUGUCAGCAGUGGAAAGCAGUCUGGCAUUGUGAAUUAAUAUUCAUGCAGGAAGAAAUCAGUUUACUUUGCUUAUCUCAAAACCAUUCACAGUUGUAGUAGGUGGUGAUAAAAUAACAGUCCGGGAAUGUGAAUGUGUUCUGCUGGAUGGAGCGCUUAACGAUGGAGCAGGAACUUAUGUUUAUGACAACAAGUGUAUUUUACCGGAUUAUCAAAAUCUCCUAAAAAAACCUAUUGGUGAUUAGGUUUAUUUUCCAAAUAGACAAAGGCAGGAGGAAGGUGAGGUCGGAAAAAAAAAGACAGACAACAGGCUAAGUUUUCUUUCUUUUUCAAUCUAUUGUUAGAUCUUUG